Molecule: ribosomal RNA, 468 nt
Filed under: uncultured bacterium
Lineage: Bacteria
Description: partial 16S ribosomal RNA
Rfam family: Bacterial small subunit ribosomal RNA
Source: RNAcentral
GACGAACGCUGGCGGCGUGCUUAACACAUGCAAGUCGAACGGAAAGGCCCUGCUUUUGUGGGGUGCUCGAGUGGCGAACGGGUGAGUAACACGUGAGUAACCUGCCCUUGACUUUGGGAUAACUUCAGGAAACUGGGGCUAAUACCGGAUAGGAGCUCCUGCUGCAUGGUGGGGGUUGGAAAGUUUCGGCGGUUGGGGAUGGACUCGCGGCUUAUCAGCUUGUUGGUGGGGUAGUGGCUUACCAAGGCUUUGACGGGUAGCCGGCCUGAGAGGGUGACCGGCCACAUUGGGACUGAGAUACGGCCCAGACUCCUACGGGAGGCAGCAGUGGGGAAUAUUGCACAAUGGGCGGAAGCCUGAUGCAGCAACGCCGCGUGCGGGAUGACGGCCUUCGGGUUGUAAACCGCUUUCGCCUGUGACGAAGCGUGAGUGACGGUAAUGGGUAAAGAAGCACCGGCUAACAACGUG